UACGUAGGGUGCAAGCGUUGUCCGGAAUUAUUGGGCGUAAAGAGCUCGUAGGCGGUCUGUCACGUCUGCUGUGAAAACUCGGGGCUUAACCCCGGGCCUGCAGUGGGUACGGGCAGACUAGAGUGCGGUAGGGGAGACUGGAAUUCCUGGUGUAGCGGUGAAAUGCGCAGAUAUCAGGAGGAACACCGGUGGCGAAGGCAGGUCUCUGGGCCGCAACUGACGCUGAGGAGCGAAAGCAUGGGGAGCGAACAGG
This 253-nucleotide ribosomal RNA is filed under the name uncultured bacterium. Its description in RNAcentral is "partial 16S ribosomal RNA". It matches the Rfam family "Bacterial small subunit ribosomal RNA", at positions 524 to 776 of the family's 1533-position model. The record is from RNAcentral.